CCAAAGUAUUGCGGAGGAUUGGGAUUCCAAGAUAUUGAACUUUUCAAUCUCGCACUUCUGGCACGACAGUCAUGGCUAGUUUUGACAGAGCCAAGCUCUCUGAGUGCACGAAUCCUAAAGGCAAAAUAUUUUCCUUCUUAUGAGUUCUUGCAGGCGAAGCAAGGAGGGGCGCCAUCGCAUGUUUGGAGAGCAAUUUUGGAUGGUCGGGAUACUUUGAAACAAGGCAUCAUCAUGUGA
Molecule: ribosomal RNA, 237 nt
Filed under: Triticum aestivum (bread wheat)
Lineage: Eukaryota; Viridiplantae; Streptophyta; Magnoliopsida; Poales; Poaceae
Description: partial small subunit ribosomal RNA
Source: RNAcentral